GGUUGAAGGUGUGGUCAUCUGGACACCUUUUUUUAUUUUUUAACCCUACCUGUGAUUUGGUACAUUCUAGGUAGGCUUCAUUCAUACUACCAUCCUUUAAACAAAUUAUAUUCAACAAUUGAGGCCUGAAAAGUAAACCUCUCAUGCUACAUAAGUGAUGGGAACAUAAUGCAAUGAAAACAUUGGAGUGUAGUAGCAUUGUAAAUAAAUAAAGGAACAAUAAUAAUGUUUUUGUUAUAGAAAGGUACUAAGAAUGUUUAUCUAUGGGGAGAAAAUGUAUCAAGAGAAAUAGAAAGAUAAAUCUUAAAAGACCUUAUGCUAAUAAUUAAGGACUCAUGUAGAGAAUUUCUCUAAUUGUUUUGCGAUUCUCAUUUCUUUGAUCCUCAUCAAGUGUCAUGAAGGUUCAGAAGGAAAAUGGCAGGAGCUGGACCUCUACAGGCAGUGGCAGAUGGAGGGGGGGCUGGCAGGGGCCCCGGCCCCUGCAAGGAAAUGCCCCUCCCUUGUAAAUAUUUAAUAAAAGUAACUGAAAUUUUUUCUUGGCCCUUCUAAUUUAUAAUUUGACCCCCCUAAAUAUUUUUUCUUGCUCCGCCCCUGUCUACAGGUAGUUGCCCAAACCUAAAGUAGUGAGAAAGGAAUGUUUGUUAUAAAUCCGUGUUCUAUAUGAAAAAUAUAAAAAGCAAAAUAAAGACAAAUCGAUGGAUUAAAACAUGGAAAAAUGUUAGCAAUAGAAAAUAAAGGCCGAAGAUAAUGCUCUUACCAGUUAGCAUUCUAGAACCCUUCCUCAUUGUCAGGAUAUGUGCAAAGUCAACAAAGUUGAAAAACUAUCUUGCGAUAGACGGUUUAAGAGGACAUUAGACCUUAGAUCAAUAACAACUUCAUGGUCGACAACUAUGUGUGGGUACUUGUUCUAAGAGGUAUAAAAGCCUCUGGUCUCGAAGUGAUCGCCAUCAAUGAUGUUUGAUCCAAGAUGCUGAAUAUCUCUAGCACGCCCGGAUCCUACAACGGAAGCAAAAACGAAGAAAGAUACAAGUCCAAUUGAUUAAGGUUUUAUUACACAUAAAGUUUGGAAGCUAGUGAAAGAAAAUAUAGCAGAUGAGAGCAAAUGAUUUCAAAAAAGCCGUCGUUCAUAAAUGUCAAGUGAAAAGAGCAAACCUGAGCAUCAACAAAUAAGCAAUUAAAGCUGCUAGGUUGGUCAGGGAUCCAUACACGGCAGGCAUGAACUUCUUGAUGUCCUUAAUCACAAAUGUCAUUGUGCUGCAAAAUAAAAAGAUGCAAGGGAAAGAGAGACAAGAAUAGAGUGAACUAAGAGGGCUAGCUGAAUUUAAAAAGACAGUAAGGCUAUUUUGGCCACUCUUACAAACAAAAAUGAACCAAAUAAGAGACAAUAAAGCUUAAGCAAAAGAUCUAUUGUCCACUUGAAAGAAUUGAUUAUGUUUAAACAUAUGUCAUUCAUUAAUGUAAUUUAUCCAUGAAUGGAAGAUCUUCUGCUAGAAAACAUAUGAGCAGUGUUGUAUAUUUAUUUCCUUAUGAGAGAUUAGAUGAGUAAUUAUAUGUGGAAAGAGACAGUGUAAUAGGUGUUGGACAUGCAUGGAUCUUCACUAUUUAAAGUCUAGAUAUAUGUAAGUGUGAUUGAUUGUGCUUAUAAAGAUGAUGAAUAUACAUAACAGUAGGAGAAUGAAUGAUAUCCAACAGAGGCAGAAUUACGCUAGCAUCUUUCUUUUAGGACUUUAUUUAGGAGACCAUGCAUGGUUGGAGAAUGUAGAAAUCUGCAACUGAAAUCUAUUUCCUUGCUUUGGUCUGGAGUGGCACAAAAUUAUAGACAUGUUUGUUUUAACCAUGGAUCAUGGAUUUGUUGGACUGCUUUGAUAUUUGUG
RNAcentral lists this long non-coding RNA (1874 nucleotides) under Populus trichocarpa (black cottonwood). Its description in RNAcentral is "long non-coding RNA (PTRI_LNC001241)". The record is from RNAcentral. Lineage: Eukaryota; Viridiplantae; Streptophyta; Magnoliopsida; Malpighiales; Salicaceae.